GACGAACCGUGCAAACGUUGUUCGGAAUCACUGGGCUUAAAGGGCGCGUAGGCGGGCAGCCAAGUCUGUGGUGAAAUCUUUCGGCUCAACCGGAAAAUGGCCGUGGAUACUGGCUGUCUUGAGGGAGGUAGGGGCCCGUGGAACUUCCGGUGGAGCGGUGAAAUGCGUUGAUAUCGGAAGGAACGCCGGUGGCGAAAGCGGCGGGCUGGAUCUUUUCUGACGCUGAGGCGCGAAAGCUAGGGGAGCAAACGGG
RNAcentral lists this ribosomal RNA (253 nucleotides) under uncultured bacterium. RNAcentral's name for it is "partial 16S ribosomal RNA". It matches the Rfam family "Bacterial small subunit ribosomal RNA", at positions 524 to 776 of the family's 1533-position model. The record is from RNAcentral.